This 296-nucleotide ribosomal RNA is filed under the name uncultured bacterium. Its description in RNAcentral is "partial 16S ribosomal RNA". It matches the Rfam family "Bacterial small subunit ribosomal RNA", at positions 333 to 626 of the family's 1533-position model. The record is from RNAcentral.
GUAUUCCUACGGGGGGCAGCAGUGAGGAAUAUUGGUCAAUGGGAGGAAUCCUGAACCAGCCAUGCCGCGUGCAGAACGACGGCUCUACGAGUUGUAAACUGCUUUUGUACCGGGGUAAAAUGCUCUACGAGUAGGGUUUUGAAAGUACGGUACGAAUAAGGAUCGGCUAACUCCGUGCCAGCAGCCGCGGUAAUACGGAGGAUCCGAGCGUUAUCCGGAUUCAUUGGGUUUAAUGGGUGCGUAGGUUGUUUUAUAAGUUAGCGGUGAAAUACCGAUGCUCAACAUCGGGGCUGCCG